GAAGACCUUUAUGAUAAUCUGCUUCCACUUAAUGAAUAGUUUAAGGUUGCUCUGAUGAAUUAAAGGCAAUGUAACUAUGAAACAAGAAUCAUAUUUUUCUUCUUCCGAAUCUUGUGUUACAGACCCUGGAGAUCAAGAAAGCAGUUGCUCUUCUCUAACAUAGGCCUUCCUUGUGGCAAAUUACCAUUACUAGCUGCAUGAAACUGAAUUGGAACUAGAAAACAAUUUUUUCUGCCAUGCCUUCAAUUCAGGUGAGUGUGUGUUCCCUGGGAAAGUCUUUG
RNAcentral lists this long non-coding RNA (281 nucleotides) under Homo sapiens (human). Its description in RNAcentral is "HSALNT0301848". The record is from RNAcentral. Lineage: Eukaryota; Metazoa; Chordata; Mammalia; Primates; Hominidae.